UGUUUUUUAGAAAUAAAUUUAAUUUAUGAAUUUUUAAAUUUUUUAAUUGUUUUAUUAAUUAAAAAAAUUAUUGAUUUAAGUAUUUUAAGGGAUAAGCUUUAAAGUAAAUUAUUAUAAAUUAAUAAAUUAUUAUUUAAAAUAUAUGCAUAGAAUUAGCAAUUAUUAUUAAGUUUGUUUUAAAUUAUUUUUAAAAAUAUAUUAUUUAUUAUUUUUUAAUUAUAUAUAAAAAUUUUUUUUAUAAUUUUAUUUGUAAAUUAAUAAUGAUAAAAUUAGUAUAUAUUAAUGUAAAAAUAAGUAGAUAUGGUAAGUUUAUAUAAAGAACUCGGCAAAUAUUUAUACUCGCCUGUUUAACAAAAACAUGUCUUUUUGAGUUAUUUUUAAAGUCUAACCUGCCCAAUGAAUAAUUUUUAAUGGCCGCAGUAUUUUAACUGUGCAAAGGUAGCAUAAUCAUUAGUCUUUUAAUUGAG
RNAcentral lists this ribosomal RNA (467 nucleotides) under Jamesomyia geminata. RNAcentral describes it as "partial 16S ribosomal RNA". Lineage: Eukaryota; Metazoa; Arthropoda; Insecta; Diptera; Tephritidae. The record is from RNAcentral.